UGGGGAAUAUUGGACAAUGGGCGAAAGCCUGAUCCAGCAAUGCCGCGUGUGUGAAGAAGGUCUUCGGAUUGUAAAGCACUUUCGACGGGGACGGAUGAUGACGGUACCCGUAGAAGAAGCCCGGCUAACUUCGUGCCAG
This 139-nucleotide ribosomal RNA is filed under the name uncultured bacterium. RNAcentral describes it as "partial 16S ribosomal RNA". It matches the Rfam family "Bacterial small subunit ribosomal RNA", at positions 355 to 511 of the family's 1533-position model. The record is from RNAcentral.